CAAUAGCGUAUAUUAAAGUUGUUGCAGUUAAAAAGCUCGUAGUUGGAUUUCUGAUCGAGACAUCAGGUCGGGUCCGAGAGGAUCAUGUACUUUGAUUUGUUUUGAUCAUCCGUGGGGAGAGCAUUUCUGGCAUUCAGUUGUCGGGAUUGGGAUCCUCAUCGUUUACUGUGAAAAAAUUAGAGUGUUCAAAGCAGGCCUCGGCCUCUGAAUACAUUAGCAUGGAAUAAUAAGAUAGGACUUUGGUGGUCUAUUUUGUUGGUUUGCACGCCAAAGUAAUGAUUAAUAGGGAUAGUUGGGGGUAUUCGUAUUCAAUUGUCAGAGGUGAAAUUCUUGGAUUUAUGGAAGACGAACUACUGCGAAAGCAUUUACCAAGGAUGUUUUCAUUAA
Molecule: ribosomal RNA, 387 nt
Filed under: uncultured eukaryote
Lineage: Eukaryota
Description: partial 18S ribosomal RNA
Rfam family: Eukaryotic small subunit ribosomal RNA
Source: RNAcentral